Molecule: ribosomal RNA, 253 nt
Filed under: uncultured bacterium
Lineage: Bacteria
Description: partial 16S ribosomal RNA
Rfam family: Bacterial small subunit ribosomal RNA
Source: RNAcentral
UACGUAGGUGACAAGCGUUGUCCGGAAUUAUUGGGCGUAAAGAGCUCGUAGGCGGUUUGUCGCGUCUGCCGUGAAAGUCCGGGGCUCAACUCCGGAUCUGCGGUGGGUACGGGCAGACUAGAGUGAUGUAGGGGAGACUGGAAUUCCUGGUGUAGCGGUGAAAUGCGCAGAUAUCAGGAGGAACACCGAUGGCGAAGGCAGGUCUCUGGGCAUUAACUGACGCUGAGGAGCGAAAGCAUGGGGAGCGAACAGG